This 1439-nucleotide ribosomal RNA is filed under the name bacterium F7-15. RNAcentral's name for it is "bacterial SSU rRNA". It matches the Rfam family "Bacterial small subunit ribosomal RNA". The record is from RNAcentral.
GGCAUGGGCAGCUACCAUGCAGUCGAGCGGAUGAGGGAGCUUGCUCCUGGAUUCAGCGGCGGACGGGUGAGUAAUGCCUAGGAAUCUGCCUGGUAGUGGGGGAUAACGUCCGGAAACGGGCGCUAAUACCGCAUACGUCCUGAGGGAGAAAGUGGGGGAUCUUCGGACCUCACGCUAUCAGAUGAGCCUAGGUCGGAUUAACUAGUUGGUGGGGUAAAGGCCUACCAAGGCGACGAUCCGUAACUGGUCUGAGAGGAUGAUCAAUCACACUGGAACUGACACACGGUCCAGACUCCUACGGGAGGCAGCAGUGGGGAAUAUUGGACAAUGGGCGAAAGCCUGAUCCAGCCAUGCCGCGUGUGUGAAGAAGGUCUUCGGAUUGUAAAGCACUUUAAGUUGGGAGGAAGGGCAGUAAGUUAAUACCUUGCUGUUUUGACGUUACCAACAGAAGAAGCACCGGCUAACUUCGUGCCAGCAGCCGCGGUAAUACGAAGGGUGCAAGCGUUAAUCGGAAUUACUGGGCGUAAAGCGCGCGUCAGGUGGUUCAGCAAGUUGGAUGUGAAAUCCCCGGGCUCAACCUGGGAACUGCAUCCAAAGACUACUGAGCUAGAGUACGGUAGAGGGUGGUAGAAUUUCCUGUGUAGCGGUGAAAUGCGUAGAUAUAGGAAGGAACACCAGUGGCGAACGCGACCACCUGGACUGAUACUGACACUGAGGUGCGAAAGCGUGCGGAGCAAACAGGAUUAGAUACCCUGGUAGUCCACGCCGUAAACGAUGUCGACUAGCCGUUGGGAUCCUUGAGAUCUUAGUGGCGCAGCUAACGCGAUAAGUCGACCGCCUGGGGGAGUACGGCCGCAAGGUUAAAACUCAAAUGAAUUGACGGGGGCCCGCACAAGCGGUGGAGCAUGUGGGUUUAAUUCGAAGCAACGCGAAGAACCAUACCUGGCCUUGACAUGCUGAGAACUAUUCCAGAGAUAGAUUCGUGCCUUCGGGAACUCAGACACAGGUGCUGCAUGGCUGUCGUCAGCUCGUGUCGUGAGAUGUUGGGUUAAGUCCCGUAACGAGCGCAACCCUUGUCCUUAGUUACCAGCACCUCGGGUGGGCACUCUAAGGAGACUGCCGGUGACAAACCGGAGGAAGGUGGGGAUGACGUCAAGUCAUCAUGGCCCUUACGGCCAGGGCUACACACGUGCUACAAUGGUCGGUACAAAGGGUUGCCAAGCCGCGAGGUGGAGCUAAUCCCAUAAAACCGAUCGUAGUCCGGAUCGCAGUCUGCAACUCGACUGCGUGAAGUCGGAAUCGCUAGUAAUCGUGAAUCAGAAUGUCACGGUGAAUACGUUCCCGGGCCUUGUACACACCGCCCGUCACACCAUGGGAGUGGGUUGCUCCAGAAGUAGCUAGUCUAACCGCAAGGGGACGGUACCACGGAUAUCAGGUGU